UACGUAGGGGGCAAGCGUUGUCCGGAUUUAUUGGGCGUAAAGAGCGUGUAGGCGGCUUUGCAAGUCCGUUGUGAAAACUCGAGGCUCAACCUCGAGACGCCGGUGGAAACUGCAAAGCUAGAGUCCGGAAGAGGAGAGUGGAAUUCCUGGUGUAGCGGUGAAAUGCGCAGAUAUCAGGAAGAACACCCGUGGCGAAGGCGGCUCUCUGGGACGGCACUGACGCUGAGACGCGAAAGCGUGGGGAGCGAACAGG
Molecule: ribosomal RNA, 253 nt
Filed under: uncultured bacterium
Lineage: Bacteria
Description: partial 16S ribosomal RNA
Rfam family: Bacterial small subunit ribosomal RNA
Source: RNAcentral